RNAcentral lists this ribosomal RNA (440 nucleotides) under uncultured bacterium. RNAcentral's name for it is "partial 16S ribosomal RNA". It matches the Rfam family "Bacterial small subunit ribosomal RNA", at positions 338 to 795 of the family's 1533-position model. The record is from RNAcentral.
CCUACGGGGGGCAGCAGUAGGGAAUAUUGCUCAAUGGGGGAGACCCUGAAGCAGCAACGCCGCGUGGAGGAUGAAGGUUUUCGGAUUGUAAACUCCUUUUGUUAGAGAAGAUAAUGACGGUAUCUAACGAAUAAGCACCGGCUAACUCCGUGCCAGCAGCCGCGGUAAUACGGAGGGUGCAAGCGUUACUCGGAAUUACUGGGCGUAAAGAGCGCGUAGGCGGGUUAGCAAGUCAGAUGUGAAAUCCUAUGGCUUAACCAUAGAACUGCAUUUGAAACUGUUAUUCUAGAGUAUGGGAGAGGUAGGGGGAAUUCUUGGUGUAGGGAUAAAAUGCGUAGAGAUCAAGAGGAAUACUCAUUGCGAAGGCAACCUACUAGAACAUAACUGACGCUGAUGCGCGAAAGCGUGGGGAGCAAACAGGAUUAGAUACCCCUGUAGUC